Molecule: long non-coding RNA, 677 nt
Filed under: Salmo salar (Atlantic salmon)
Lineage: Eukaryota; Metazoa; Chordata; Actinopteri; Salmoniformes; Salmonidae
Description: lncRNA (ENSSSAG00000116369.1)
Source: RNAcentral
CAGCAAGGGGCAGGGGCAGAGAGACACUCAUCUACUACUGAGGUCCAGAAGACAUUACCAAGACAACCAGGUAUCAUUCAGUCAGCAUAUUCCAACUAUCAGAGUAAAGGAUGAAGAUCCAGAGUGUGUUGCUGCUGUUUUCUCUAGUGGGUGUCCUGUUAGCAAGCUCCCUCAAUGAAGAUAACUCUAAGGAAGCUCUUCCGGAGGAGGACAAUCUAAAAGGGGAAUAGGCGGCCUUGGAAAAGUUGUUUGGUGAUCUGAAAGCUGAUGGGGUUUCUCAGAAGUCUUUUGAGGAUGCAGAAGAUGAAGCAGCAUCUCUUCUGGAGGAGGACAAUCUAAAAGGUGGAAAUGCAGGCUUGGAAAAGUUGUUGGCUGCUCUGAAAGCGGGUGGGGUUUCUCCAAAGACUGCUGGGAGUGGUGAAGAUGAGGCAGCAUGUGAGCUAUCUAUAGUUGAAGUCGGAAGUUUACAUACAUCUUAGCCAAAUACAUUUAAACUCAGUUUUUCACAAUUCCUGACAUUUAAUCCUAGUACAAAUUCCCUGUCUUAGGUCAGUUGGGAUCACCACUUUAUUUUAAGAAUGUGAAAUGUCAGAAUAAUAGUAGAGAGAAUGAUUUAUUUCAGCUUUUAUUUCUUUCAUCACAUUCCCAGUGGGUCAGAAGUUCCGGGUAGCCUUCCA